CUUACACAUAAUGAGGUUAGCAGAUGGAUGAGAAUAUAUAACAAAAACCCAUAAAACUGCCGGUCAUUGUUAGCCACCACACCCACAUUGUGCAGACAUCCAUAAAAAAUUCUGGGAAGUAUCAUAUACUGAUGAAAUUUAACUAUGCCAAACCAAUGUGAAAUGCAAUUACAUCUACACAUAUGAAGUUGGGAUACCCCUUGUGCAACUCUAAAAACCAAGUACUCAAUGAUCCCAAAUUGCAAGCACUCCUAUCCAUUCCCACACAAAGAAAACAUAGAUUUGAAUAAUCUGACUCAAAGUGCAAGGUAACUAGAAAUAGCAAGUUAGAGACAGAUUAUCAAGUGAGAAAUGCAAG
Molecule: unclassified non-coding RNA, 358 nt
Filed under: Hevea brasiliensis (rubber tree)
Lineage: Eukaryota; Viridiplantae; Streptophyta; Magnoliopsida; Malpighiales; Euphorbiaceae
Source: RNAcentral